AAAUUCCUAUUUCUCUUCUUUCCUUCUUCCCCGUUGAUAGAGUACGACGUCUUCAUCUUCCUCACCUGCAGGGACGACGACAACCUCCGCAAGCUUAACGAUUGGAGUUACCUGAGCUCCGGUGUCCAUAUUUGUUAGCUCCGGCUGAACCUUUUCAUUUACUUCUCAGAUUAGAUUCCGAGUAAUGACAACAACUUCCAGCGUCCCGAUGAAUCUCUGUUUUAAGCCUGCAACUCUGACAAUUUUGCCUUUGUUGUCAACCUCCAUAGCAAGUGACUCCACCUUGAGCUUAUGAGCUUGAGAGAGUUCGCGACUCUCCCUCAUGCUUGUUUUUCCCGAUGGUGAAAUACACAACCUGAUUGCUGAUCAUUCGCAACCUCUGGAGAUACGGACACCACAGUCGCCAUUGCCGUCACAACAAUUCUUGGCAAGAUAACCAACCUCGUCGCAAUUCCGAUCAAUACGUUUCACUUUCCGUGAAUAUAACCUGAUGCAACUUCAACUUGAGUCUUUGCAUCCUCCGGCAUCAAGCUUCGACGCCAUUAGCCACUGUUAUCUCAAUUUCUCCGAUGAACACCUUCAUCUUUCCACUAUUCUGAUGAUUUUAGCUUCUUGCCUCGUCGUCCUUGUCCAAUCUCUUCGGACAGAAGCUCCACCUUGUCUCUCGUGAGACCCUUAUAACUGUGACUUGAUUCUCUUCAUCACAGCGCAACCAGCCGUUUUCUAAUGAGAGAUCAGCCUUCUCUCAUAUUUAUGAAGCUUUCCGGUAACUUCACAAACCUUGAAACAUUUUUCUUAGUUUCUUUUGAAUUUUUUUUUUUCGGCUACUCCACCUUAAGCAGUUUCUUUUGCUUUUCCUGUAGCUAUUCCACCUGAAGCCAAUAUCUCUUCACCAUAGCUUCAUAAUUGUCGCAGAUGGUUCAAAGAAUUAGGCUACAAAUUUGGGCCUAAUAUCCACAAUUCCAAACCACCCAUGGCUAAACGGAGUUGACAAACCAGUUGGUGGUAAUGGAGUAAAUUUGCCUCCAUAUUUCAGAAACUCUGGGAAAGAUACCAGGGAGUUUGAUGGUCUCGAUAAUACUGGAAUGUGACUCCACACUUCUCUGCAUAGGGACAUUUAAUGAAGACAUGGAUGUCGUCCUGAGGAGCUCCACACUUUUCUACAACUGAAUAGUAAGGGAAAUGGUGUAUCGUCCGCAUAAAUCUAGUUUAAAGAUAAGUUAUUGACGGCCUUCAAUUAAAUUUCUAUAGAAAGAUUGUAAUGGCAAUGAAUAUCAUGCGUAUUCAAAACCAUGUUUAGUGUUCCGAUAUUCAAUAUGUUUCGGCUGA
Molecule: long non-coding RNA, 1329 nt
Organism: Raphanus sativus (radish)
Lineage: Eukaryota; Viridiplantae; Streptophyta; Magnoliopsida; Brassicales; Brassicaceae
Exons: 5
Source: RefSeq, a predicted model, not a curated record